CUACGGGGUGCUGCAGUGGGGAAUAUUGCACAAUGGGGGAAACCCUGAUGCAGCAACGCCGCGUGGAGGAAGACGCAUUUCGGUGUGUAAACUCCUUUUCUAAUAGAAGAAGUUGACGGUAUAUUAGGAAUAAGCACCGGCUAACUCCGUGCCAGCAGCCGCGGUAAUACGGAGGGUGCAAGCGUUACUCGGAAUCACUGGGCGUAAAGGACGCGUAGGCGGGUUGGAAAGUCAGGUGUGAAAUCCUACAGCUUAACUGUAGAACUGCACUUGAAACUUCUAAUCUAGAGUAUGGGAGGGGGAGAUGGAAUUAGUGGUGUAGGGGUAAAAUCCGUAGAUAUCACUAGGAAUACCUAAAGCGAAGGCGAUCUCCUGGAACAUUACUGACGCUAAGGCGUGAAAGCGUGGGGAGCAAACAGGAUUAGAUACCCGCGUAGUC
RNAcentral lists this ribosomal RNA (439 nucleotides) under uncultured bacterium. RNAcentral describes it as "partial 16S ribosomal RNA". It matches the Rfam family "Bacterial small subunit ribosomal RNA", at positions 339 to 795 of the family's 1533-position model. The record is from RNAcentral.